Quercus lobata is the source of this 1650-nucleotide RNA transcript. It is a transcript of the gene named polygalacturonase ADPG2-like, with no coding region annotated. NCBI's taxonomy places the organism in Eukaryota, Viridiplantae, Streptophyta, Magnoliopsida, Fagales, Fagaceae. The record is from RefSeq and is a predicted model, not a curated record. The transcript is spliced from 4 exons.
AAAAAAAUGGCAAUCCCAGUAAGGCCAUUACUCCUUCAACUCUUCCUCCUCACCCUGCUCUUAAUCUCAAUCCAUCAAUCACACCCAGCCAUUGCAUCCACAACCCAUCUCCCACUUUCCAAAUAUCCUCACUCACUAUCAGUCACUGACUUCGGAGCCAUUGGUGACGGACUCCACUAUGACACAGUCGCCAUCCAAUCCGCCAUCAAAGCCUGCCCCGCCUCCCACCACACCCAAUGCCACGUUACCUUCCCUCCCGGAACCUACCUCACCAAAACCCUGUUCCUCAAAUCCGGCGUCGUAUUGGACAUCAAAGAAAAUGCAACAUUGCUGGGUAGUACAAAAAUGGAGGACUACCCAAAAGAAUCGCGGGAAUGGUACGUGGUGGUGGCGGAGAACGCGAGUGAUGUGGGGAUCACUGGCGGAGGCGUGGUGGAUGGACAUGGUUUGGGUUUUGUGAAGAGGUUUGAUGUGAGGAAGAAUGUGAUGGUGAGUUGGAACACCACCGGAGCUUGUUUAGGAGAUGAGUGUAGACCCAGGCUUGUUGGUUUCAUUGAUUGUAAGAAUGUUAGGGUUUGGAAUAUCACACUCACAGAGCCUGCAUAUUGGUGCUUGCACAUAGUACGGUGUGAAAACACAUCAAUUCAUGAUGUUUCGAUUUAUGGAAACUUCAACACACCUAACAAUGAUGGGAUUGAUAUUGAGGAUUCAAAUAAUACAGUCAUUACAAGGUGUCACAUCGAUACAGGAGAUGAUGCUAUUUGUCCAAAGACAUACACUGGCCCCCUUUAUAACUUGAUUGUGACAAACUGUUGGAUUCGAACAAAAUCUUCAGCAAUCAAACUUGGUAGUGCUAGUUCAUUUGAUUUCAAGGGUCUAAUUUUUGACAACAUCACAAUUGUACAGUCUCAUAGAGGGCUGGGAUUUCAAAUACGUGAUGGAGGAAAUGUAAGUGACGUUACCUUCUCAAACAUAAACAUAAGCACAAGAUACUAUGAUCCUUCAUGGUGGGGAAGAGCGGAGCCUAUAUAUGUGACAACAUGCCCAAGAGACUCUAGUGCAAAGGAGGGUUCAAUCUCAAAUGUAGUUUUUAUUAACAUCACUGCAAAUUCUGAAAAUGGUGUAUUCUUAUCAGGUUCUAAACAUGGGUUACUAAACAAUUUGAGAUUCAUAAAUGUGAACCUGACUUAUAGAAGAUGGACAAAUUAUUCUGGUGGAUUGAUAGAUUACAGACCAGGAUGUCAGGGACUUGUUAAUCACAGCAUUGCUGGGAUCAUCAUGGAACACAUUGAAGGUUUGGAGGUUGAAAAUGUUGACAUGAGAUGGUCUAAUCACCAAUCAGGACGCUGGAACAAUCCUCUUGAUUUCAAGCCUUCAACUGUAAAUAAUAUUUCUUUGUUUAAUUUUCGUUCAAGUUUGUACUAAAAACUAAUUCAACACCUCCAGAACUCACACUUCGACCCCAACAACACCCACGAUGACUUAUUGGAGCCUUCGUGUUCUUGGCCUGACCUCAACCCCAAAACCCCGUGGGACCUCAAGCCUAGAGACCUCUCCGAUGAAGUGCCACCGUCUAACCCUGACAACAAUGUUCCUUACCAGUUCAACCAUGACUCUUCCACCCUCGCUUCCAAGCUCCGUAACCACUAG